Molecule: long non-coding RNA, 454 nt
Organism: Triticum dicoccoides
Lineage: Eukaryota; Viridiplantae; Streptophyta; Magnoliopsida; Poales; Poaceae
Exons: 3
Source: RefSeq, a predicted model, not a curated record
AACAAACACCGUGCGUGGAUAGAAAUUUGGAAUCAAAGAGACACGUUAGUGCAAUCAGAGAAUAGACCUCACAAUCAGUCAGCAUAUCAGAAGUAUCAAGUGUGGUAUGCGGAUCGUUACCGGUUAAAGCUGAAGCCAGGUUGGACUCACGAAGAGUGGUCGGAGUUGGUGUCUGAAGACCCGGAGACUGCAGAAGGUUAUCAUACCUUCAACACGGCUGUGAGAGACACCAGAGGGGCUCAUGUUGACUACGCACCGAUGCAUGACGAAAUGGGCAGAGAGUUGCUUCUGUGCGUCAACGAUGCCAAUGUUGCACUGAGUCAUCCACCUGGUGGUGCAUUAUCUGAGAGGACUCUUAGGAGCACGAUGGAGAAGUUCAAGAAGCGGUUCCAUAAGAUGGCAGCUAUGCUUUCUUGCCAUGGUGCUCAGUCCAGUGACGUGUAUGCACCAGGUA